RNAcentral lists this ribosomal RNA (564 nucleotides) under uncultured fungus. RNAcentral describes it as "eukaryotic LSU rRNA". The stretch from base 195 to 348 matches the Rfam family "5.8S ribosomal RNA". Lineage: Eukaryota; Fungi. The record is from RNAcentral.
AAGUCGUAGCAAGGUCUCCGUUGGUGAACCAGCGGAGGGAUCAUUAUAGAGUUUUUUCUAACUCCCAACCCAUGUGAACUUACUUUUGUUGCCUCGGCGGAGCCUACCCGGUACCUACCCUGUAGCGCCCCGCCGGUGGACUUAUAAACUAUUGUUAUUUUAAUGAUAUCUGAGAGUCUUAUUUAAUAAGUCAAAACUUUCAACAACGGAUCUCUUGGUUCUGGCAUCGAUGAAGAACGCAGCGAAAUGCGAUAAGUAAUGUGAAUUGCAGAAUUCAGUGAAUCAUCGAAUCUUUGAACGCACAUUGCGCCCAUUAGUAUUCUAGUGGGCAUGCCUGUUCGAGCGUCAUUUCAACCCUUAAGCCUAGCUUAGUGUUGGGAGUCUACAUAUGCAUAGCUAUCUUAGUUAUGUUGUAGCUCCUUAAAUCAAACGGCGGAUUUAUAUGUAUCCUCUGAGCGUAGUAAAUUUUCAUCUCGCUUUUGUCAGGUGCUAUAAUUCUUGCCGUUAAACCCCCUUACUUUAAUGGUUGACCUCGGAUCAGGUAGGAAUACCCGCUGAACUUAA